RNAcentral lists this ribosomal RNA (181 nucleotides) under uncultured bacterium. RNAcentral's name for it is "partial 16S ribosomal RNA". It matches the Rfam family "Bacterial small subunit ribosomal RNA", at positions 1320 to 1500 of the family's 1533-position model. The record is from RNAcentral.
AUGAAGCUGGAAUUGCUAGUAAUGGCAGGUCAGCAUACUGCCGUGAAUACGUUCCCGGGCCUUGUACACACCGCCCGUCACACCAUGAGAGUUGGGAAUACCCGAAGCCUGUGAGCUAACAUUUAUGAGGCAGCAGUCGAAGGUAGAAUCAAUGAUUGGGGUGAAGUCGUAACAAGGUACC